GGGGAGGGGGGCGCUGGGUUGCUGACUCGGAGCUCUGCUGCGGUGAGCUUUGAGCUAGCGACUCUCUGAGCUCUCUGGUUGUGCAUGUGUCUGUAGGUUGCCGUGGUGCAGACCGUAGCCUCGCCUCCCUCCAAACACUUUCACGUUUCAGUCGGCCGGCGGCUCCGGUGCGUUUCAGUUGCAGCCAGACUCUACAGUCCUGAAGUGUCUCUGUCUGUAGCUGAGGAUUUCCUGCCCCUGGAAGGAUUCUCUCUCUCUCUUUCUGGCCAAGGCAGAGAGAGAAAGAGAGACAGAUAGUAAGAGGAGAGGAAAGGAAGACAGGAGGAGGAAGAGCGACCAGGAGUGACCUUCGUGGUGUGGUGGCAAAAGCAGAGGAGGAGGAAACGGGAACAAGCGUAGGAUCCAUCAGCUGGAACAGGUGCAUUUUCCUUCUUUGAGGAGCAGCGAUAUGGACACCAGGUGUGGUGACGCCCAGUGAGUGCCACUUUGGGGCGAAAUCACAAAGGUGUUCACUUUGUUAAUGAG
Amphiprion ocellaris (clown anemonefish) is the source of this 525-nucleotide long non-coding RNA. The record is from Ensembl. NCBI's taxonomy places the organism in Eukaryota, Metazoa, Chordata, Actinopteri, Pomacentridae.